RNAcentral lists this transfer RNA (72 nucleotides) under Oxalobacter formigenes OXCC13. It matches the Rfam family "tRNA". Rfam says of the family: Transfer RNA (tRNA) molecules are approximately 80 nucleotides in length. Their secondary structure includes four short double-helical elements and three loops (D, anti-codon, and T loops). The record is from Rfam by way of RNAcentral. Lineage: Bacteria; Pseudomonadati; Pseudomonadota; Betaproteobacteria; Burkholderiales; Oxalobacteraceae.
GUCCCCGUAGUUCAAUGGAUAGAACGAGUUCCUCCUAAGAAUUAGAUGUCGGUUCGAUUCCGGCCGGGGAUA